GAUGAAGAACGUAGCGAAAUGCGAUAAGUAAUGUGAAUUGCAGAAUUCAGUGAAUCAUCGAAUCUUUGAACGCACAUUGCGCCCGUCAGUAUUCUGGCGGGCAUGCCUGUUCGAGCGUCAUUACGCCCCUCAAGUCCCCUGUGGACUUGGUGUUGGGGAUCGGCGAGGCUGGUUUUCCAGCACAGCCGUCCCUUAAAUUAAUUGGCGGUCUCGCCGUGGCCCUCCUCUGUGCAGUAGUAAAACACUCGCAACAGGAGCCCGGCGCGGUCCACUGCCGUAAAACCCCCCAACUUUUUAUAGUUGACCUCGAAUCAGGUAGGACUACCCGCUGAACUUAAGCAUAUCAAUAAGCGGAGGA
This 358-nucleotide unclassified non-coding RNA is filed under the name soil metagenome. Its description in RNAcentral is "partial contains 5.8S ribosomal RNA, internal transcribed spacer 2, and large subunit ribosomal RNA". The stretch from base 1 to 120 matches the Rfam family "5.8S ribosomal RNA", at positions 35 to 154 of the family's 154-position model. The record is from RNAcentral.